UACGUAGGGUGCAAGCGUUAAUCGGAAUUACUGGGCGUAAAGCGUGCGCAGGCGGUGAUGUAAGACAGGUGUGAAAUCCCCGGGCUUAACCUGGGAACUGCAUUUGUGACUGCAUCGCUGGAGUGCGGCAGAGGGGGAUGGAAUUCCGCGUGUAGCAGUGAAAUGCGUAGAUAUGCGGGGGAACACCGAUGGCGAAGGCAAUCCCCUGGGCCUGCACUGACGCUCAUGCACGAAAGCGUGGGGAGCAAACAGG
RNAcentral lists this ribosomal RNA (253 nucleotides) under uncultured bacterium. RNAcentral's name for it is "partial 16S ribosomal RNA". It matches the Rfam family "Bacterial small subunit ribosomal RNA", at positions 524 to 776 of the family's 1533-position model. The record is from RNAcentral.